UACGUAGGUGGCAAGCGUUGUCCGGAAUUAUUGGGCGUAAAGCGCGCGUAGGCGGUUUCUUAAGUCUGAUGUGAAAGCCCACGGCUCAACCGUGGAGGGUCAUUGAAAACUGGGAAACUUGAGUGCAGAAGAGGAAAGUGGAAUUCCAUGUGUAGCGGUGAAAUGCGCAGAGAUAUGGAGGAACACCAGUGGCGAAGGCGACUUUCUGGUCUGUAACUGACGCUGAUGUGCGAAAGCGUGGGGAUCAAGCAGGAUUAGAAACCCCAGUAGUCC
This 273-nucleotide ribosomal RNA is filed under the name uncultured Staphylococcus sp. RNAcentral describes it as "partial 16S ribosomal RNA". It matches the Rfam family "Bacterial small subunit ribosomal RNA", at positions 524 to 796 of the family's 1533-position model. The record is from RNAcentral. Lineage: Bacteria; Bacillati; Bacillota; Bacilli; Caryophanales; Staphylococcaceae.